This 9315-nucleotide long non-coding RNA is filed under the name Triticum aestivum (bread wheat). Its description in RNAcentral is "long non-coding RNA (TAES_LNC022398)". Lineage: Eukaryota; Viridiplantae; Streptophyta; Magnoliopsida; Poales; Poaceae. The record is from RNAcentral.
GUUGACCCCCUCCGUGUUGCAGCGAGUCACAACAACAGCGGGAAACAGGUAUUUUCUCUGUUUUAUCGACAGUUUGUGUUUGAAGUGAAAAAAAAUUCUAUGUUGAGUAAUAGGCUUUUUAUUUUUCUUGGUGGUUCUGUCUUUGGGUCACCCAUGGAAGAAAUGACUACAUAAGAAGGCAUGGAAUGCAACAUGCACAUUAGGGUUACUCCCUAAGGUACGGGUCAGAUGAACCUAUAUAUGCAUGCAUUUCGUCAGUUUCUAGUGUUUGCUGAAUGUUUAUAGCUCUGAAAAUAAGAGAAUGCGUGGCACUUCUUUUGUUCUUUGAGUGUCGUGACGAACUACAACUACAUCACUCAUCAUUUCCUACAUUAUACAUAUAUGUUCAGUUGGAUCUUGAGAAAAAAGGCAUCAUUUAUCGAUUUUGUUGCGUUUCCUAUGUAGUAAGCUUGUGAUUUAUGUUAGUUGUUGAGUGAGCAAACCAUGUUCGUACAGUACAAGGAGAGGAAACCUCCAUCUCCAAGACGUACUGUCUUUUCUCCUCGUCAAGCGAAGCAAUCAAACCGUAAAGCUUCUUAACGCUGCACCUCGAUCUAAUGGCGGGCGCCUUCCCAUUAGGCUGGUUCUGAUCUUCUUCGUCUAUCUCUGACUCCGCAACGCCACCUCCUGCAGGGAAACCAAUACUCUCUUCUUCUUCUGAUUCCGAUGAUGCAUCGUCAAUCUGUCCACGUGCGCUCGGCCCCGAAGCUGGGAUCCCGUAGCCAUCGAUCCCUUCAUCAAAAAAUGCCAACCUAAAAGAAGUCAAUUUUUCAGAAGAAGCACACUCAACAUUACAUAUACGGGAUGCCUUUGCAAAAAUCCUGGUUGCAUGGUGCACUGGAGAAAACAUGAUUUCAGUAUCGAGGAUGCUAUAGGCCAUGCGCACAUACAUGGGUGUACAUGAUCGAUCGAUACAUAAAAAUCGUGCAAACCGAUGGAUGAGUUUUAGAAAUAAUGCACACAUGACCCAUGGUGGAACGGAAGUACUAUGAUAUUGAAUCAUUGAUUGAGAUGGCACUGCCCCUCGCCGCAGGAUCGCUGCAGCAGCUAGGACUAGAUUCGUCGAGUUGUUUUAUCAAACACUUCAGAGGGGAGAAGUACAUUAGAUCAAAUGCUGCUGCCCUUUAGAGUCUGCGUGACUCUGAUCAUGGGCCGCCCCCUUUGUCUGCGCGAUGACGUACAAGGGAGAACCGACAAAAAGAGAGUUGCUUUUUUUCGGGGCGCGAGCAUUUGACUUUUUCCACAGUAAAAACAUUGUUUUUUCUACCUGCUCCUCCCUGUAAAUAGUCUUGGGGCUGAAUAGGGCUUUAGGGCAUCUCUAACAUUGACCCGUAAAUUUUCUCCCCGCGUCCGUCCGUAGACAGAGGGUUCCGUUUGAUUCGUUAGUUGUGAUAAGAAAAGGUUGCGUGUUAUAUCCGCAUAAGUAGGAAUGCUUCUCAUUCGAAAUCAAGAAUGUGUCGUGUUGUUGUCUGUAUGGUUGUACUUUUUUCCUAUUCACACACUGUCCACUUGUGUGCGAUGGAGAGAAAAGGUUUGUUUGCAUGAAAACAGAGAUCCUUCUGUCGAGUACGAAAGGUUCUAACCUUGCCGUAUGAGGUUUCUCAUUCACUAGUACGAGAAGUCCCCCACCCUCCCCGCCUCCCCGGUGCACAACGCAAAGUUUUUCUUUUUGCAAAAAUUGAAAUGAGGUUCUAUGACUGUUUGCAUGUUUCUACCCUUUUUCCAUGCACACACUAUCCAAUGGUGUGCGAUGGAGGGAAAAUGUUCGCCUGCAUAAAAAGAGGGAUCCUUCUGAUGAGUACGAAAGGUUCUUACCUUGCCAUCUGAGGGUUCUCGUUCACCAAUAAGAGAGACCCCCGCCCCCCGGACCCGGGGUGCAAUAGGCCCCUGGUCUACGAUAUAUAGAAGGGUUCUCGGUCCAUAAAUAAGGGUGCCUACUGCGAGUGUGUGGGUGGUUCUCAUAAUGCAUAACAAAGGUCCUAUGAUUGGCACAUUACAUCAGAAAAUUACUUCUCCCCAAUUAAACUUGCACCCGCAUGGAAGAGCAUCUAUUUACCACGUCAAGUUUAUAAAAUAGUUUGUAAGCAUAAAAUGGAUGUUCCUCGCAAUGCACCAAUGCACCAAUGCGGUGAUACGUUAUCGAGCGGUGUGUGAUUGAGAAGGGUUCGCAUGCAUAAAAUGAUGGAACCCUCCUGUCGAGCGUGAAAGGUUCAAACAAUGUCACAGAAGGGUUCUCAUUCAUUAAUAAAAUGGUUCCUAUCACUUUCUGACCGAGUGCCCUGGUUUCACGGCUUUAGUUUAACCAUGGGUGUUGCACCUUGUCAGGCUGUAGCGAGCAGCAGGCCAUGUGUUUGACGCAUUUAGUUUAACCAAGUAGUAGUAGUUCCCGCUUCUCGGCGGGGAGCUGCCCAAGCACACAUCAGCCUUGGGUAAGAAACGGUGCCAUGCUAGAAACCAGCACAACCCACACCAUCGAUGGAGAAUGUGUGCUCCCCCAUGUCAUUUACCUCCUACCGAAACAACCGUCGUUCAUGCCCCACUGCGUUAUUGAGCGCACACAUGCCAUGAUCGGACGAGGAGAAUCGCCUCCGAGCCACCGCUCUCGUGAUCACCGCGCCCUGGGUCGACCCAAACGCAGGGAAGGAAGCCACCCUCGCCGAAUUCGCCAAUAUCCAGAGCGGCCGUUGUGUGUCCAUCCUUUCCGUGCAGAACUUCCUCGUCCGUUUCAUGAAGUUACCUGAUUAUCUAAUAUUCCCUCCGUCCCAUAAUAUAAAAGUGUUUUUAAUACUAGUGUAAAAAAACGGUCUUAUAUUAUGGGACGGAGAGACUUUGUAGCUAAUGUAUUAUUUAGUAUUCUCUAUUCACAUUUUUACUAUGCAGAAACUUUUCGUUUAUGUAGCUUAAAGUGAAAUACUUUACUUAGUAAGCUAGGUCUAUUAGGCUGGUAACACCGCAGUCAACAAUCUUUGUGAGCUGCAGUAGAAGCCAUCCAGCCAGCAGCUAAGCUUUCCAUUUUCUCGGUAAGGAACUGACUUCUACUAGAGUGUAAAAUUCAGAGUAAACAAAUAGAUCAAGUGCAUCCACAAUUCCUUAGUACAGUAGUAGUAUGGAGAAAGGCAGGAUCUGUAUGGCGCCCACUUUAUAACCAGUAAUUCUAAAAUAACAACCAAAAUGGUUUUGCUUCUUCUUGUAGGAAACCACACCAAAUGAAUUAAAAGAGGGAAUCAACUCUGAGAACAAUGAAAUUACCCGAUAGAAAAAAAUAGAACACUCUUGAACGAAUUUUUAGCCAGCAAAAAGACGUGCAUUCUUUUCUCACAUUCCAUCAAACAGUGUUUUUUUAAAAGAUAUUCCAUCAAACAGUUAACGCGCAGUUUGAACUAGUGAACAAAUCUCACGGGCUGCAGAGAGUAAGAUUCAGUCAAAACUAAUUCAGUUGGACCAUAACAAAUACACCAGUGCAGAAAAAUGUAGAACAUGUCGUGGGAGUUGAAGCUGCUGCUCCUACUACUCUGGCCGCUACAGCUUGACAUUCCCUCUCCAAGACAACCAACUAAAAAGUCCGUUUCAAAAAAAACUAAAUAAUCACCAUUCCUGUGAUCAUCCACAAUCCAUUUCAUUGUUUGUCUCAUCUCAUGCUCUCAACAACCAACACCAAAAUAUAAUUUAACCAUGCAUUACCCACUAACACUUGCAUGGAGAUCCACUAAAGAAGGGAGGAGAUUAAGAAAACGAUUAAGGGAAAGCAAACAACUUUCCAAAGUCUAAUGAACUCCCAAAAUCACAUCAAACAACAAAGAGUUCAAGCAUUUGUUCAGAACGAUCAGAAACCUGUGGAUCAAUUGAAGAUUCAGAGCAAAAGCUUAAAUUUAGAGCUCCAAACCUAUGAAAGCAAAACGCUAAGCUAGCAAGAAAAAUCAGGCUCAAGUUAUGUUUGGUGCCGCCUCCGUCUCGAAUUUCCUCGUGUGUAGCCUUGUCUUCCUCCUCACGACCCUAGUUCUGCGCAUGGCGAGCACAAGGCAGCAUCGUCAUGAUUCUUGGUGAAGCAUGGCGAGCUCCAUGCAGAAGCUUGGGACACCAGGCCACAUCUACGGCUAGUCACCUGCAUCACCGUAUCCAAAAUGCAUUACACAGGAAACCAAACCAAAAAAACACUGAUUAGGGGCAGGCCAGGGUAAAAUUCAGAACAACAACAUUACAUUCAGAGGGCCGUAGUUAGGAACACAAAAGUUAAAAUAUACAAUAGCACACAAACUAGAAAGAAUUGAAUUCGUUCAACGUCCUGGUAAGUAAUCUAUAAAAAUUAGUAGUAAUCUGGCUACAACUACUUUUGCAGCUUGACCUAUCCAGCCCGAACAACAACAAAAUCACACGUCCACCAACAAUCAAAGGGAAGAAGCAAGAAGUUCGAGCACAAAAAGACAGGCCUUUUCUCAAUGCCUCCAAGUUGGAGUCGCGGAGUAGCUGUGGACCAGGAGGAGGCCGUGAGAGGCCAGCAGGAAGCAGUACAGGUCGUGCACACUGUCGACCCUCCCGGGUAAGCCCGCGACAGGCCCCGCGUCUCCCGCCAGUGGGAAGAGACGGCCACAACAUCCAACACUACGGCAGCCCGGGGCCCCGGUAUCCCCGGAUCAAGCUUGGCGAGGUUGAUGCCGAUAUCGACGUCCCCGUCUCCCUGGAUCUCGCCGAUAUUUGUGCGGCAGAAGAGGGAGGGAGCCUGUUGGGUAGCAUGAUGAGGAGAUGUGGAGCACCGAGAUGAGGGUGGGAGAGGGUUGGGGCUGUGCGACUCACCGGGAUGGUAGAGGUGGCUUGCUGUGGAGGGGAAGGGUGGGAGGGUUGGGGGCGGCGGGAUCUGGACGGGAUGGAGAACAAGCGAGAGAGAAUGAUGGGGUGGAUAAACGAGCAAGAGAGAGACGGGGUGGAUAAAGUUACGCACCGAUCAUGUACAUGGGCGAUGGGCCGACAGUUCUACAGAACCUUACCUCCGGCUGCAAUCACGGGCCCAUCACUGCCAAACCUGCCGUCCUGCCAGCCUAGUACUGCGCGCGACAGGGCUGGACGCAGGGUGAGUGGUCCAGGUUUGGCUAUAAGAGGAAUUACCCAUCGAUCACUUAAAAGAAGAAAAAUGCAAAGAGGGAAAGGUGAGGGAGCAGAUCCCAACACAUUUAGGCGUCCGUGACUGCAAUGUCUCUGACGAAACUUUAUAUCUUUGAUUUUUCCUAUAUAUAUAUAUUCAUUUUAAAAUACUUUCAACAACAUACAUAUCCCUUCCAUAUGGAUAUGUGUAACGCCCCAGAUACAAUUUUCCAUAUUCAUAACUUCAACUCUUGCCUUUUCCGGAGAUGCUAUAUGAUAUUUCCUUUGUGGUUGGGUUUUUGUCGUUUGUUUUGCAUUUUGUUCUUGUUAUGCAUCUCGUCUCAUGUCAUCAUCUGCAUUUCAUCUGCAUGUUUUUCAAAACUUGCAUCUGUUCGGGUUCCGCCGGUUCUCUCCGUUGUCCGUUCGGAGUCCAGACCACACUCGCACGCGCCCGCGGCACCUCCGAAAUAUUAUUUUAUAAGUGGCAUAAAAAUGUUCUCGGAAUGGGUUGCAACUUGUCGUGCGGUCUUAUUAUAGUGUAGACAGAGCGCCUGCCAAGUUUCAUCGCAUUCGGAGUUGGUUUGACUGCCCAACUGUUAAAUAUAUAACCGCGAUAUAGUCGGUAUAUUCGUCGGACGUUUCGGUCUCUGAAACAGUUGCCGGGCUGCAUUUCUCCCCUCUUCUCUCAGCCCAAGCCCCUCUACACAGCCCACCAACCCCUCUCUUAGUCCCUCUCCGCUCCGAAAGCCCCCAAAACCCCGAACCCUAACCCCUCUUUCUAUAAAUAGCAGCCCCCUUGCCAUUUUUGUCACCCCUAACCUCUCUCCUUGAUUUCCGCGCUGUCCCAAUCAUCAGCCGCCGCCACCUCCCACCUUCUCCUUCGAUUCCGGCGCCCUCCACCUCCACUGCGACACUUGGCGCACCCCGAUUGGCCCAGCCACCACCAUCCGGCGCCCUCCACCUCCACUGCGACACUUGGCGCACCCCGAUUGGCCCAGCCACCACCAUCCGGCGCCCCUGGCCACUCCCAAGCCUCCACGUCGCCUCCCCCUCAGCCUCCGCCGCCGCGGCCCGCCAGGAACCCAGAUCGGGCCCUGGGAAGCCCAUCUGGGCCCCGAGCUGCCUAGCUCCUGCGCCCGAGCCCCGUCCUUGUCGCCCUGCGCCCCGCGCCUGAGCGCCCUGGCUCUAGGAUCCCGUGCGCCGCCCCUCCGCGUGCAACCACCCUGCCGAGCGUCACCGGCGACCAACUCCGGCGACCUCCGCCGCAGGUCACGCUGCCGCCCGGCCUCUCUCUCCCUUCCUCUUCUCCUUCCUCCCCUCACCAGCUCUCUCUCUCUCCCGCAGCGCCUCGCGCCACCGCCCGUCGCUGUAGUUCGUCGUCCGGCCCCGCCUCCGGCCAGAUCCGGGCAGGAGCGCCCGGAUCCCCCUAUCCCCGUCGUUCGCCGACGCUCUGGACGCCGCCCGCUGCCGCCAAGGCCUCGUCGUCGGAGUCCCGUGCGCCGUCAUGUUCGUUGAACGGUCCCGCUGGAGAUGAGCGCCACGACCGCGUCGCCCUCCACCCACUUCAGCCCAGCGCGCCUCCAUAUCCGCGCCAAGGCCCAGCGCCCCUUCCAGCCGGCCCGCUUGCCCCGCUGGCCUGCCCGGCCUCCUUCUUCCUCAACCGGGCCUUGGCCCAGGGUGAGCAGACCCCUCCCCCUCUCCUGUGCACUUUGGCCCAGCCAGAUUCGGCCCAGUGUAGUUUUUUUUCAGAUCUGCGAAUUUGUCUUUUAUCCAGUGCAUGCAUAAUUACAGGAGGAUGCCAUUAUUUUAAAUUGCUCACAAGUAAAUAACUGUGCAUCGGAUUAAAAUGGUUUAAACAUGUAAAAUGCUCAGAAAAUUGUGUAGAUUAAUAAUAUGCCACUUUCAUCUAUGUUAAAAAUGUUUAACAUGAUGUUUGUGUUUAUUUUGCAUAAUGCCAUGCUAAAAUGAUUUAAUUCAUAACUAAAUAACCGUAGCUCCAUUUUAAAUAAACUUUAUAUGUAAAUGGGGUGGAAAAAUGCCUAGAUUAACAUGGUGCACUUUAUUUUCCUGUUUAACAACAAUAAAAUUGUGUUUAGGGAAGAACAGUACCGAAUCUAAAAUAUGCAUAUGGGGAUUUUCCGGACUUGUUGUUUGUUGCUUUUGGCCUCAUUUAAACUUGCCUAAAUAGUUAGUUUACUUAUGUUUCACCUCUUGCCAUGUUUAACAACAUUUAAUAUUGUUGUGUACCUAAACGAGAGCGAACCAAAUAACUCGUAUGUGGUGUUUCGUCAAUAUGUAACUCGUUGCAUAUUGAGCUCCACUUAACUUGUAAUAUUGUUUGUUGCACUUUGCCAUGCCAUGCCUCAUUAAACCGGAGAUGCAUCAUACUUGUUUGUGCAUCAUGCCAUGUUUAUGCUCGUGCAUUACCAUGUUGUUUGUUUCUUUCCGGUGUUGCUUCUUAGUUCCGGUAAUGUUGCGAUCGUGAGGAUUCGUUCGUCUACGCUUGGUUCGGUUUCAUCCGUUCGUCUUCUUCAUGGACUCGUUCUUCUUCUUAGCGGGAUUUCAGGCAAGAUGGCCGCUACCCUGGAUCUCACUACUAUCAUUGCUAUGCUAGUUGCUUCGUUCUAUCGCUAUGCUGCGUUACCUAUCUUUUGCUCAUCAAGCCUCCCAAAUUGCCAUGAACCUCUAACCUUUGACACCCUCCCUAGCAAACCGUUGCUUGGCUAUGUUACCGCUUUUGCUCAGCCCCUCUUAUAGCGUUGCUAGUUGCAGGUGAAGUUGAAGAUUGCUCCACGGUGGACAGAAUUAUGUUUGGGAUAUCACAAUAUCUCUUAUAUUAUUAAUGCAUCUAUAUACUUGGUAAAGGGUGGAAGGCUCGGCCUUAUGCCUGGUGUUUUGUUCCACUCUUGCCGCCCUAGUUUCCGUCAUACCGGUGUUAUGUUCCCGGAUUUUGCGUUCCUUACGCGGUCGGGUGAUUUAUGGGACCCCCUUGACAGUUCGUCUUGAAUAAAACUCCUCCAACAAGGCCCAACAUUGGUUUUACCAUUUGCCUCACCACCACCUACUUUUCCCUUGGGAGUAAUUAACCCAAGGGUCAUCUUUAUUACAGCACCCCCCCCCCCGGGCCAGUGCUUGUUUAAGUGUUGGUCCGAACUAGAGCCCUUUGCAGCGCCCCCUCAGGGAAACUUGAGGUCUGGUUUUAGUUGUACGGAUUGCUCAUCUGGUGUUGCCCUGAGAACGAGAUAUGUGCAGCUCCUAUCGGGAUUGUCGGCGCAUCGGGCGGCUUUGCUGGUCUUGUUUUACCAUUGUCGAAAUGUCUUGUAAACCGGGAUUCCGAGUCUGAUCGGGUCUUCCUGGGAGAAGGUCUAUUCCUUCGUUGAUCGCGAGAUCUUGUCAUGGGCUAAGUUGGGACACCCCUGCAGGGUAUAAACUUUCGAAAGCUGUGCCUGCGGUUAUAGGCAGAUGGGAAUUUGUUAAUGUCCGGUUGUAGAUAACUUGACACCAGAUCCGAAUUAAAACGCAUCAACCGCGUGUGUAGCCGUGAUGGUCUCUUUUCGACGGAGUCCGGGAAGUGAACACGGUUUCUUGGGUUAUGUUUGACGUAAGUAGGAGUUCAGGAUCACCUCUUGAUCAUUACUAGUUGACGACCGUUCUGCUUGCUCUCUUCUCGCUCUUAUUUGCGUAUGUUAGCCACCAUAUCAUGCUUAGUCGCUGCUGCAACCUCACCACUUUACCCCCUUCCUUUCCCUUUAAGCUUUGCUAGUCUUGAUACCCAUGGUAAUGGGAUUGCUGAGUCCUCGUGGAUCACAGAUUACUACAACAACAGUUGCAGGUACAGGUUAUGCGAUGUUCAUGACGCGAGAGCGAUGCUUGCUUGUCUUGGAGUUCUUCUUCUGCUUCUUCUUCGAUCAGGGGAUAGGUUCCAGGUCGGCAGCUUGGGCUAGAGGGUGGAUGUCGUUUGAGUUUCUGUUUGUGUUUCAUCCGUAGCCGGAUGAUGCUCUUAUGUAUUGUGAUGUUGUAUUCGAGUGGCAUUGUAUGCCUUAUGUAUGUAUCCCCAUCUAUUAUGUAAUGUUGAUGUAAUGAUAUCCACCUUGCAAAAGCGUUUCAAUAUGCGGGUCUAUCCUUGGUGGGACCUUCGAGUUCCUUUUGGAUAGGGUCGCAUAUUGGGCAUGACAAUAUGAUCAUCCAACACAUAUAUAU